RNAcentral lists this ribosomal RNA (447 nucleotides) under Triticum aestivum (bread wheat). Its description in RNAcentral is "partial small subunit ribosomal RNA". The record is from RNAcentral. Lineage: Eukaryota; Viridiplantae; Streptophyta; Magnoliopsida; Poales; Poaceae.
AUGCCGGCGAUCGCCUGCGGCGCCUGCGCGGCUGCCUUCCCCUCCUCCUCCCACGCCCGUAGCCCUCCGCCGCCUUCCGUGAGCUACCGGAAGCUCGUCUCGCCCACCCCCAGGCGGCUAGGGCACCGGCUGGCCGCUCCCAUGGCCUCCACCGUCGACUCGCCCGGCAGCUCCUCCGACUUCGCCAAGCGCAUGGACCGCGCCUGGCUCAUCUCCAAGCAACCAAGUCCGACUUCUUGUUCAUCUUGUCAAUCCACUGGCGAUGUGGAGUGCAGGUGGUGUGCAGGCACAGGCUUCUUUAUCCUUGGCAACAAUAUGUUGUGUGAAGUACCCUCGAAAAAUACAAGAUGUGUGAUUUGCUCUGGAAAGGGCUUUUCACGUUGCGCUGAUUGCAAAGGAACUGGGUUUCGCGCCAAGUGGCUUGAAGAGCCCCCUGUUGACAAAUGA